AGACUCUGAACUGGCUCCCUAUGAAAUGAGUCAUCGAGUUAGACAUGGCCUAGACAAAAGAAGAAUUAUGAAUACAAUAGAAAACAAUGGCCCUUGCCACAUCAGCAAUCUGCAGGAAUAUACUGUACCAUUGGGAAGAUGCUGAGAGGCUGACCAUCACACCCAGCUUCAUGUGGUGUGACUCUGACCUCUGGAGGGAAGACAAUCGAUCGAAGGACUCAUCAGGCUGUCAUGGAGGCACUUAUGUUACAGAACCAGCUGCCAGCAGAAGCUCUGGACAUCAAACCUUGGGUGACGUCCUCUAGCUGGCACUGUCCCUCACUGGUGCUGAGAAUCAACUACUGUUUAUAAAGCUCUGAGGGGAGAGGGGGUGGAGUUCGUGCCUAGUCCCUCCUG
Molecule: long non-coding RNA, 396 nt
Filed under: Mus caroli (Ryukyu mouse)
Lineage: Eukaryota; Metazoa; Chordata; Mammalia; Rodentia; Muridae
Description: lncRNA (MGP_CAROLIEiJ_G0003484.1)
Source: RNAcentral